This is a non-coding RNA of Trichonephila clavipes, 83 nucleotides long. NCBI's taxonomy places the organism in Eukaryota, Metazoa, Arthropoda, Arachnida, Araneae, Nephilidae. The record is from the annotation of a GenBank genome assembly.
GUCCCCGUAGCACAAAGGAUAGUGUGUGUGUGUGCUUUGGACUUCUGAUCCAAAGGUCGUGGGUUCAAAUCCUACCUGAGAUG